UCCAGUGAGUGUUUCACUCUUCCCAUGCUUUGUGAGGUCUUCCAGGGUCUUCGGGGCGUGGCUUGAAGAGGAAGGGGCUGAAACCCCACCCAUCCAUCUGGCCAAGUGCAAGCAGGAAACCAGCAUGGUCAAGAUCCAAAGGCAUGGGUUAUCCCUGAUGGAGGCCUUGGUCCUAAGCUCUUCACAAGGAGGUUCUAAUUCAGGCUGGGACUGGCCAGAUGAAGCCAUGAGUACAACCCCACUGGUUGGAUCAGAUUGGCAAGGCUGCUGGAGAGAGCAGUCUGUGGCUGGAAAACUCUGUUUCAUCUAAUUAAGGACUCUCCACCAGGAGCCCCUGCCCAAUUUCAUCAGUACUUGGCUCUAGCAAGAGACUUUCCAGUGCACUUGGAUUUCAGUAUCCCUCUACCCAGGAGACACAGUGACCCAACAAGGGGAGGCCUGUUGUCCCUCUCCUAUAUGCUGUUUAGAGUGGAAGUGUUUAGCCUCCAGAGCACUGAAUUGGAGGUGGGACAUGGAGGCAGUCCUACCAGGACAGACAGCACCAGGCCCAACCAGGAUGGGGCUGCUCCCCAGAGGACCGAAUAGACCUGUUGCUCUUUUUGGAGAAUGGGCAUAGAGUUUACCCUGCAGUGAGUGAGGACUCAUUCAAGGACUUUAUCAAAGUGACCAAAGCUUUGAAGUCUUACUCUGCCUUCCCCAAGGCCCAAGAGACAAAUGCUUGCUGAGCAAGGUCUCAUGGCCAUGCUGGUCUCUCCCAGGUGGCCUACUCUCCUCUCAGCCAACCAAGAAGAGAGAAGCCUACGAGAUAAGCAGCAUCUGGGCACAGGGACGUACAGGGAUAAUGAUGACAAUGACAUUUGACAUGAGGCCGUGCAUGUGGACAUCAUCAGAGGGCAGUAGACAUCUUGGUGUUAUAAAAUGCUGUGUUCCUUGGGCCAGAGAGACAGUUCAGUGAGUGAAGGCACUUGUAGUUAAGCCCGUCAACCUGAGUUCAAUCCCCAGGAGCCAGAUUUUAGGUUUUGAUAAUGGGUUUAGGAACUGUGGCUUCUGUAAUGAUAGUCCUCGGGCAGUCUGAAAGACAGUCAUUAAACUGAACACUCUUCUUAGCCAAUCAGAAUUUGUCAUCAAAGGCAAGGAGACAACAACUGAGUAUCUGGUGAGAAUGUGUUCCUGUUCUCAGGAUUCCAAAAGCAGGUGUGACUCCUUAGGUAGCAGACCGACUCAUGAUGAGCAGGAGCCACAGGCGUGUGUACUGUGAGGCCCAGGCCAGUGGGUCAUCCUGGGAUCUGCUCUCACCAGCCAUCAGCAGUCUCCUAUGGGAUUCUUCACUCUGGGCUUUGGCUUCACCUGGCAUUUGGGGAUGAUGAACCUUGCCCUACUGUCUUUCAGGAAUACAAGAAAAAGUAAACAAUUACUAGUGUUUUAAAGAAUGUGCUAAGCAAAUGUGAUUGAUCAGAUUAGUAACCAGAUUGCUACUUGAGAAUGUUGAGUCACUUCAGUUAACUCCUUCUAGAAGCAUAAAUGACAAUUUGGUCACAUAACAUGUCAAUGCUUGCACUUGCUGUUUUGUGUCUAAUGAAAACUGAGAACUCAUCAGCUCUACUAAGGUCAAUGCUUAUACCAUGGUAGUUUUCUUUUUUUUUAUGUUCUAUAUUCUUUGUUUACAUUCUAAAAGCUUUCCCCUUUCCCAGUCCCCCCCCCCCAUAUGUCCCAUGUCCCAUAAGUCCUCUUCUUUCCAUCCGUUCUCCUAACUUUCCCCCUCCCUUUUCUCUGUCCUGGUACUCCCCUACAAUUCUGGAUCAAGCCUUUCCAGGAUUAGGGCCCUCUUCUUCCUUCUUCAUGGGAAUCAUUUGAUAUGCUAAUUGCAUCUUCAGUAUAAAGAGCUUCAGGGCUAAUUAAUAUCCACUUAUCAAUGAUUGCAUUCCAUGUGUAUUCUUUUGUGAUUGCGUUAGUCUAUCAACAAAGAAUAUACUUAAAUAAAGAUUUAUCUGUAUCAUGAAAUAAUGUUAUAUACACAUUAAAUACCUUUUAUAGAUUAUAAGUAAAAAUCAAAUUGCUAAUA
Molecule: long non-coding RNA, 2062 nt
Organism: Apodemus sylvaticus (European woodmouse)
Lineage: Eukaryota; Metazoa; Chordata; Mammalia; Rodentia; Muridae
Exons: 5
Source: RefSeq, a predicted model, not a curated record